RNAcentral lists this ribosomal RNA (253 nucleotides) under uncultured bacterium. Its description in RNAcentral is "partial 16S ribosomal RNA". It matches the Rfam family "Bacterial small subunit ribosomal RNA", at positions 524 to 776 of the family's 1533-position model. The record is from RNAcentral.
UACGAAGGGGGCUAGCGUUGCUCGGAAUCACUGGGCGUAAAGCGCACGUAGGCGGAUCCUUAAGUCGGGGGUGAAAUCCUGGAGCUCAACUCCAGAACUGCCUUCGAUACUGAGGAUCUCGAGUCCGGGAGAGGUGAGUGGAACUGCGAGUGUAGAGGUGAAAUUCGUAGAUAUUCGCAAGAACACCAGUGGCGAAGGCGGCUCACUGGCCCGAUACUGACGCUGAGGCGCGAAAGCGUGGGGAGCAAACAGG